AAAAAGAUAAGCUAAAUAAGCUAGCAGGUUCAUACCCUGCUUAUAGGGGUCCAAACCCCCUUCUUUUUA
This 69-nucleotide transfer RNA is filed under the name Chalcophora japonica. Its description in RNAcentral is "tRNA-Met". It matches the Rfam family "tRNA". From Rfam's summary of the family: Transfer RNA (tRNA) molecules are approximately 80 nucleotides in length. Their secondary structure includes four short double-helical elements and three loops (D, anti-codon, and T loops). Lineage: Eukaryota; Metazoa; Arthropoda; Insecta; Coleoptera; Buprestidae. The record is from RNAcentral.